ACCAGACUCCUACGGGAGGCAGCAGUGAGGAAUAUUGGUCAAUGGGCGGAAGCCUGAACCAGCCAAGUCGCGUGAGGGAAGAAGGCCCUGCGGGUCGCAGACCUCUUUGGACGGGGAGCAAGGCCGCCGACGUGUCGGCGGAAGGAGAGUACCCGUAGAACAAGCAUCGGCUAACUCCGUGCCAGCAGCCGCGGUAAUACGGAGGAUGCGAGCGUUAUCCGGAUUUAUUGGGUUUAAAGGGUGCGUAGGCGGGCUUUAAAGUCAGGGGUAAAAAUUCGGGGCUCACCCCGGGCGAGCCGUUGAAACUGUCGGACUAGAGACGGCGAGAAGUACGCGGAAUGCGCGGUGUAGCGGUGAAAUGCAUAGAUAUCGCGCAGAACUCCGAUUGCGAAGGCAGCGUACCGGCGCCGGACUGACGCUGAGGCACGAAAGCGUGGGUAUCGAACAGGAUUAGAUACCCUGGUA
RNAcentral lists this ribosomal RNA (465 nucleotides) under uncultured bacterium. RNAcentral describes it as "partial 16S ribosomal RNA". It matches the Rfam family "Bacterial small subunit ribosomal RNA", at positions 330 to 792 of the family's 1533-position model. The record is from RNAcentral.